This 241-nucleotide long non-coding RNA is filed under the name Carica papaya (papaya). Its description in RNAcentral is "long non-coding RNA (CPAP_LNC009129)". The record is from RNAcentral. Lineage: Eukaryota; Viridiplantae; Streptophyta; Magnoliopsida; Brassicales; Caricaceae.
AAAAAUUAGGAACAGCCCGUAGGCACACUGUAGAGCCGAUUUCAGACUCCGAAACAAGUAAGGACCCCUCACCCUAUUUCUUAUCACAGUAUUAAAGCUUAAUAAAUAAUUAAAUGGUAUUUUGGGACUUUAUAGAUGUGAAAUUGAUUAAGGCUGCCAAUGGAGCCCGAAUCUGGUACAUUGUUGGUCAGUUGUCGUUUGAUCUAUUUUUCAGUAUUAAAUGCAGUAUGAUGUUUGAUGU